ACACUUCAUUUGUAUUCUCUUUUAAACAUUCAAAUUCACAUAACCUAUUUUGUUUACUUUACAAUUUAUUCUCUUUUUCUACUACUUCAAUAUACCAUUUUAAUUUUCAUACAUAAUAUUAGCACAUUCACAAUUAAUUCAACUAAUUAAGCAUACUCUAUACUUGAUUAAAAUUAAAUAAAGUAAAUUUCUUGAAGUACUUACCUUGUCUCUUUAAUUUCCUCACUUUUUCUACCAUUUUC
This 242-nucleotide long non-coding RNA is filed under the name Gossypium barbadense (sea-island cotton). Its description in RNAcentral is "long non-coding RNA (GBAR_LNC020809)". The record is from RNAcentral. Lineage: Eukaryota; Viridiplantae; Streptophyta; Magnoliopsida; Malvales; Malvaceae.